This 346-nucleotide ribosomal RNA is filed under the name uncultured bacterium. RNAcentral's name for it is "partial 16S ribosomal RNA". It matches the Rfam family "Bacterial small subunit ribosomal RNA", at positions 338 to 681 of the family's 1533-position model. The record is from RNAcentral.
CCUACGGGAGGCAGCAGUGAGGAAUAUUGGUCAAUGGCCGGAAGGCUGAACCAGCCAUGCCGCGUGAAGGGCAGGGGCCUAGGGGCGUUAAACUUCUUUUGUGCGGGAGCAAGAAUGGUCACGUGUGGCCAGACGAGAGUACCGUACGAAGAAGCAGCGGCUAACUCCGUGCCAGCAGCCGCGGUAAGACGGGGGAUGCAAGCGUUAUCCGGAUUUAUGGGGUUUAAAGGGUGCGUAGGCUGUGAGGUAAGUCAGCGGUGAAAUGCCCCCGCUCAACUGGGUGAAGUGCCAUUGAUACUGCCUUGCUGGACUGCGGAUGCCGUGGGAGGAAUGUGUUGUGUAGCGG